RNAcentral lists this ribosomal RNA (467 nucleotides) under uncultured bacterium. Its description in RNAcentral is "partial 16S ribosomal RNA". It matches the Rfam family "Bacterial small subunit ribosomal RNA", at positions 28 to 506 of the family's 1533-position model. The record is from RNAcentral.
GACGAACGCUGGCGGCGUGCUUAACACAUGCAAGUCGAACGGAAAGGCCCUGCUUUUGUGGGGUGCUCGAGUGGCGAACGGGUGAGUAACACGUGAGUAACCUGCCCUUGACUUUGGGAUAACUUCAGGAAACUGGGGCUAAUACCGGAUAGGAGCUCCUGCUGCAUGGUGGGGGUUGGAAAGUUUCGGCGGUUGGGGAUGGACUCGCGGCUUAUCAGCUUGUUGGUGGGGUAGUGGCUUACCAAGGCUUUGACGGGUAGCCGGCCUGAGAGGGUGACCGGCCACAUUGGGACUGAGAUACGGCCCAGACUCCUACGGGAGGCAGAAGUGGGGAAUAUUGCACAAUGGGCGGAAGCCUGAUGCAGCAACGCCGCGUGCGGGAGGACGGCCUUCGGGUUGUAAACCGCUUUCGCCUGUGACGAAGCGUGAGUGACGGUAAUGGGUAAAGAAGCACCGGCUAACUACGU